UUGACGCACGGUUUGACAGUUUUGCUGUGAAACAAUUUCAUUACGACAGCAGGGUGCAUAUUUUACGAAGUAAUUUUUGAUGUUAUGAUAUAUUAUUGACAAAUUCAUAUAAAAACAUUAUUUUAUUUAUCAUAGACAGAACAACGUCUGUCGGGUCAACUAGUUAUCAAUAUAGAUAAUACAUAUAUUCUAUUGUAAAAGUAUAUUUUUAUAACGCUGCUGAAGUGUAUUAAUACAUUGUUGGUAGGUAUUAAUAAUAUAUAUGUGUAGAUAUGUACGAAGUACUUUGUGUUUAUCACGUGUACAUUAAGGAUAACACAUGUUCUGUGUCACCGUUAGGUGUAGCCAAUAGUUAGCUUAGCCAUACAAACUUAUAUGUCGAGUGCCAUUUUAUUAAAUUUUCAGUUUACGGUUUAUGUCACAUCAAAUAGGAAUGUGUUAUUUAAAAUUAUGUACGGAUUUGUCUUUAUAGAAGUAUUAUUAAUACUAAUGCGUAAUACUCAAUAGCCGCGUGUAAAUAUAGGGAUGUGAUGUUACGCUUUCUGUCGGAACUAACGGGGGGUGUUGGUCAGUGAGCGAUACCAAGAGUUAUAUGAAGUAGUCUGGACUUGUCCACGUAUACAUGGAGAAUUUUAAAAUAUAAACAUAAAACUUUCAUUUAUACGUCUAAAUAGAACUCUGACAGCUGUGAAAACUUCGAAAAGAAUUGAGGUUGGUUGUUGAUAUCUAUAUUGAGCAAUGCACGAACAUUAACACGGUGACAUAAAUCGCGAGUGUAAGACGUAGCUUAAUAAACCUGGCCUGUUUUAAUCGGUUGUCUAGCAGCAAGAGGCUCUAUCUAAACGAAUAAAUUAUCAAAAAUAUUAGAUAUUAAAAAUUUAAUACACAGAAAGCGUAUAAGACGAGAGCGCUGAGUUGGAGUGAGGAGAGAGCCGGAAUGGCACGUCACGGUCUACCUUAAGUAAGUUGCGAGACGACGGAACAAUCUGACGGUACUGGUUACAGGGCCGGUGAUCUGGCAACAUUAACACUGAGUACCAGUGUGGAGGUACACAAUAUUGUUAUAUAUGAUUACGAUUAUUAUAAUGUUAUGUACAAUCAUUAUUUAAUGUUAAAAUGUCUUCGAGUGUGUCUUUCAAAAACAGUUACAUGUUGAAAUGUUCAAAUAAAUAAAACAAAAUAUGAAUUA
Long non-coding RNA from Leptidea sinapis, 1189 nucleotides. RefSeq lists it as uncharacterized. NCBI's taxonomy places the organism in Eukaryota, Metazoa, Arthropoda, Insecta, Lepidoptera, Pieridae. The transcript is spliced from 2 exons. The record is from RefSeq and is a predicted model, not a curated record.